This 482-nucleotide ribosomal RNA is filed under the name uncultured bacterium. RNAcentral's name for it is "partial 16S ribosomal RNA". It matches the Rfam family "Bacterial small subunit ribosomal RNA", at positions 30 to 507 of the family's 1533-position model. The record is from RNAcentral.
AUUGAGCGCUGGCGGCAUGCCUUACACAUGCAAGUCGAACGGUAACGGGCCUUCGGGUGCCGACGAGUGGCGAACGGGUGAGUAAUACAUCGGAACGUGCCCGAUCGUGGGGGAUAACGAGGCGAAAGCUUUGCUAAUACCGCAUACGAUCUACGGAUGAAAGCAGGGGACCGCAAGGCCUUGCGCGGACGGAGCGGCCGAUGGCAGAUUAGGUAGUUGGUGGGAUAAAAGCUUACCAAGCCGACGAUCUGUAGCUGGUCUGAGAGGAUGAUCAGCCACACUGGGACUGAGACACGGCCCAGACUCCUACGGGAGGCAGCAGUGGGGAAUUCUGGACAAUGGGCGCAAGCCUGAUCCAGCCAUGCCGCGUGCAGGAUGAAGGCCUUCGGGUUGUAAACUGCUUUUGUACGGAACGAAAAGCCUUCUUUUAAUACAGGAGGGUCAUGACGGUACCGUAAGAAUAAGCACCGGCUAACUACGUG